This 308-nucleotide ribosomal RNA is filed under the name uncultured bacterium. Its description in RNAcentral is "partial 16S ribosomal RNA". It matches the Rfam family "Bacterial small subunit ribosomal RNA", at positions 505 to 807 of the family's 1533-position model. The record is from RNAcentral.
GAGACAGCAGCCGCCGCGGGAAUACAGAGGGUGCAAGCGUUACUCGGAAUUACUGGGCGUAAAGCGUGCGUAGGUGGUGGUUUAAGUCCGUUGUGAAAGCCCUGGGCUCAACCUGGGAAUUGCAGUGGAUACUGGGUCACUAGAGUGUGGUAGAGGAUAGUGGAAUUUCCGGUGUAGCAGUGAAAUGCGUAGAGAUCGGAAGGAACAUCUGUGGCGAAGGCGACUAUCUGGGCCAACACUGACACUGAGGCACGAAAGCGUGGGGAGCAAACAGGAUUAGAUACCCGGGUAGUCCCUGUCUCUUAUAC